CUCUGGUAUUGAUUGGUGCUUGCAUCAUGAUUUACAUUUGAGUGAGUGGCGAACUGGUGAGUAACACGUGGGAAACCUGCCCAGAAGCGGGGGAUAACACCUGGAAACAGAUGCUAAUACCGCAUAACAACUUGGACCGCAUGGUCCGAGUUUGAAAGAUGGCUUCGGCUAUCACUUUUGGAUGGUCCCGCGGCGUAUUAGCUAGAUGGUGGGGUAACGGCUCACCAUGGCAAUGAUACGUAGCCGACCUGAGAGGGUAAUCGGCCACAUUGGGACUGAGACACGGCCCAAACUCCUACGGGAGGCAGCAGUAGGGAAUCUUCCACAAUGGACGAAAGUCUGAUGGAGCAACGCCGCGUGAGUGAAGAAGGGUUUCGGCUCGUAAAACUCUGUUGUUAAAGAAGAACAUAUCUGAGAGUAACUGUUCAGGUAUUGACGGUAUUUAACCAGAAAGCCACGGCUAACUACGUGCCAGCAGCCGCGGUAAUACGUAGGUGGCAAGCGUUGUCCGGAUUUAUUGGGCGUAAAGCGAGCGCAGGCGGUUUUUUAAGUCUGAUGUGAAAGCCUUCGGCUCAACCGAAGAAGUGCAUCGGAAACUGGGAAACUUGAGUGCAGAAGAGGACAGUGGAACUCCAUGUGUAGCGGUGAAAUGCGUAGAUAUAUGGAAGAACACCAGUGGCGAAGGCGGCUGUCUGGUCUGUAACUGACGCUGAGGCUCGAAAGUAUGGGUAGCAAACAGGAUUAGAUACCCUGGUAGUCCAUACCGUAAACGAUGAAUGCUAAGUGUUGGAGGGUUUCCGCCCUUCAGUGCUGCAGCUAACGCAUUAAGCAUUCCGCCUGGGGAGUACGGCCGCAAGGCUGAAACUCAAAGGAAUUGACGGGGGCCCGCACAAGCGGUGGAGCAUGUGGUUUAAUUCGAAGCUACGCGAAGAACCUUACCAGGUCUUGACAUACUAUGCAAAUCUAAGAGAUUAGACGUUCCCUUCGGGGACAUGGAUACAGGUGGUGCAUGGUUGUCGUCAGCUCGUGUCGUGAGAUGUUGGGUUAAGUCCCGCAACGAGCGCAACCCUUAUUAUCAGUUGCCAGCAUUAAGUUGGGCACUCUGGUGAGACUGCCGGUGACAAACCGGAGGAAGGUGGGGAUGACGUCAAAUCAUCAUGCCCCUUAUGACCUGGGCUACACACGUGCUACAAUGGAUGGUACAACGAGUUGCGAACUCGCGAGAGUAAGCUAAUCUCUUAAAGCCAUUCUCAGUUCGGAUUGUAGGCUGCAACUCGCCUACAUGAAGUCGGAAUCGCUAGUAAUCGCGGAUCAGCAUGCCGCGGUGAAUACGUUCCCGGGCCUUGUACACACCGCCCGUCACACCAUGAGAGUUUGUAACACCCAAAGUCGGUGGGGU
This 1399-nucleotide ribosomal RNA is filed under the name Lactiplantibacillus plantarum. RNAcentral's name for it is "bacterial SSU rRNA". It matches the Rfam family "Bacterial small subunit ribosomal RNA", at positions 70 to 1436 of the family's 1533-position model. The record is from RNAcentral. Lineage: Bacteria; Bacillati; Bacillota; Bacilli; Lactobacillales; Lactobacillaceae. RNAcentral also lists the same sequence under 1 other name.